Triticum aestivum (bread wheat) is the source of this 805-nucleotide long non-coding RNA. RefSeq lists it as uncharacterized. The record is from RefSeq and is a predicted model, not a curated record. The transcript has 2 exons. NCBI's taxonomy places the organism in Eukaryota, Viridiplantae, Streptophyta, Magnoliopsida, Poales, Poaceae.
UGGUUUGAUGUUUCUUUUUACCUAGAUGAAUACUUAUAGCACUGAAUUUAUGAAUGUAGAUUUAUAGUAUUGUGUUUUUGAUGUUUACUUAUUGUCGUAAUCUCACGUAUAGGUUGUGUAGAAAUCACUCAAGUCUGCUUUUUAUUAUGGAAGCUCGUUGUAUGUGUAAAAUUAUUUAUACUCUUGGUCCCGGCGCACGGAGCCUACAAAACGCCGAAUGUUCCUGCUGCUGCUUACCAAGCAGGAAAACACCAGAAUAAGUUCAACUUGGGGAAGAGCAUGAAGGUGAUGAACUCGCUCGGCGGCUUGUACCGUGUUUUGUGCUGGAGGAACAUAAAAAUCUCCGUUUCCUCGUUACUUUAUUCUGAUGGUUUAUUUGCCAUAUGUUAGAUUGGCGAGAGGUGGGGUAACAGAAAGAGGCGACGUUAAAAUCGGUGCUAGUGACGACGACGGUAGACACGAUGAGCUUGGCAACAGCGGCUGCCGCAACAUUGUUGUACUUGGAGCCCAUGCUAUCCGAGCUCAACAAUGCCAAUAGCUCAGUCCUUUUGCGUGUUCAUUGACAAGUUGUCGUAAAGUACCUUGGCGUCAACAACCACGGCCAUAAUGACAGAGUCGUGCUGGCCGACUGCCCUGCUUCCAUGCGCCAAGCAAUCUACUGGUUUGAGAAAGGAGUUGUAAGAAGUGUUCCUUAGAAAUUGUACACUAAACUGCUUGCACAUUUUCAUGCAUGUUGGCACUCACCUUGGAGCACAAUUAAAUGGAAAUCAGUAGCAAAAAUACAAUCUGCAUAGUGGUAAUCUAA